Molecule: ribosomal RNA, 303 nt
Rfam family: Eukaryotic large subunit ribosomal RNA
CAAGGAGUCUAACAUGUAUGCGAGUCAUUGGGAAUGUAAACCCAAAGGCAUAAUGAAAGUAAAGAAUUCGAUUGCGAAUUUGAGGAGAGAUCAUGGAUUUAUUUGAUAUUUCGUAAGAUUUAUUAAAUAAAUUAUGCGCAUCUCCUGGACGUCUAUACCUCUGAAGGUUGGGCGUACCAAGAGCAUACACGUUGGGACCCGAAAGAUGGUGAACUAUGCCUGGUCAGAAUGAAGUCAGGGGAAACUCUGAUGGAGGUUCGUAGCGAUUCUGACGUGCAAAUCGAUCGUCGGAACUGGGUAUAG